Molecule: ribosomal RNA, 1200 nt
Filed under: Triticum aestivum (bread wheat)
Lineage: Eukaryota; Viridiplantae; Streptophyta; Magnoliopsida; Poales; Poaceae
Description: partial small subunit ribosomal RNA
Source: RNAcentral
AUGACGGUGGCCGUGUGCCAUGUCAUGCCGGCGCUGGACGUCCCUCCUCCUCACACUCGCCUGCCGGCGCCGAUGCCACCGCCGCAGCAGCUGGACAUGUGGAGCGCCAUGCAGGCCCCAGCCAACAACGACUGCGCCAACAAGCCCGAGCCGCCGGCGAUUAAGGCCAAGGCCACUUGCCCGAUGGCGACGGUGCGGCGGUCCAUGAGCCACGAGAGCCCCAGCCUCUGCACCGAGAGCCUCGGCUGCGAGACUGGCACCCGCGGCGACUUCCUUGACCUGGCAUCCCGGCUCUACGCGCCGCCCCCGCCCCACAAAACCGACGAUGCCGUCGCCGCCGACUUCUUCUCGCCGCCGGCAUUGGAUGACCAAGAGGAGGAGAAGGAUGAGGCAGCGGGCGAGCUGACACUGAAGGCGGUGCAGUACCACCGCGCCCGGCCGCAGCGCGCGUUCCCGCCACCGCUGCCGUCCAUGUCUCGCCGCGGCGGUGACGACGGCGGACCGUGCCUGCGGGUGCGCCCGCACCGCCGAGACGGGCGCCUCGUGCUGGAGGCUGUGGCCGCGAAGCUCCAGGGCUACCUCCAUGCCCAGCGCCAGGAUGGCCGCCUCAAGCUCUGUUUCGUGGACUGCUCCCCUGCCUUGGGAUCUGUUCUCGACCACCAGAAGCAGAGCAUGGUGCAACAGCCACACCACGAAGAGAUGCUGCAAGGACGCAAUAGCGUCGACGAGGAACAAGAUGUCUUCGAGGAGGAGGACGAGGAGGACGAGGUGGAGGUGGUAGACAGGGGCACGGUGGUGGAGGUAGUUGCGGCGUCUGGCAAGGCGCAGCGGUGCUCCAGGAUCGUCAUCAACAAGUUCGUGGGCGGCGCGCCGACCACCACAGACGACGCGUCGCCAUCACGCUGCUGCAGAACUACCGAGGACGAAUUAGCCGCUCCGACCGUGACGCCAGGGCUGCGCCGGGUGCCGUCGUCCACGACGACGCUGGCGGCCACGGUGGCGGCCGCGUCCACGGGCAUGCAGUCCGACGAGGAGGACGAGGAAGAGGCUGACCAGAAGGGCCAGGAGGAGAGCGCGCCGCUGCUGUUCACGUCGCGGGUGGGGGACAGGGAGGAGCUGGUGCAGAGCGUGCGGCGGUGCCAACAGCUCCGGCAGAGGCCGCUCUUCAUUGUGGAGUCAUACUCCAUCAUCGCCGCCUGA